GCCUUUAUAGCUCAGUUGGUUAGAGCGUCUGCCUAGUAAGCAGGAGGUCACCAGUUUCAACUCUGGUUAAAGGCA
Molecule: non-coding RNA, 75 nt
Organism: Chytridium lagenaria
Lineage: Eukaryota; Fungi; Chytridiomycota; Chytridiomycetes; Chytridiales; Chytridiaceae
Source: the annotation of a GenBank genome assembly